Molecule: long non-coding RNA, 1406 nt
Filed under: Medicago truncatula (barrel medic)
Lineage: Eukaryota; Viridiplantae; Streptophyta; Magnoliopsida; Fabales; Fabaceae
Source: RNAcentral
ACCGAAUCAGUUGCGACACCGAUGGGAAUGCAUGCUACGAAAGAUAGGGUCGAGUCUGAAACAUCAACCGUCUACUCAAUAUCCUUGUACGAGUCCACAAUCACUACACGAGAUGAACCUUGGUUUGGUGAAUUGAAGUUUGCCUUAGGUGUAAAAAAAAGGACUCCCAGUUACUGCGCGCGAUCGUAUACUGAGGUGCUCCCCGCCGGUUGUUGGAACGACGCGAGCCGGGCCUCCAUUCAGAAAGAUGAAGGGUCCAAAAAAAAGUAAAAAUAGGGGGUUAACAAUUCCCCAUCUCAUUGGGGGCGGAAAACGAAUCGACAUCUCGAUGUGAUACAGCCUUUUCUAUUUUUGUUGGGAAAGAACGGCGAAGUCCAUCCGAACCGUCCAAUGAAGAAUAAGAGGAGAGCAAAGCGCCAAUGGCGCGCGAAGCGCAUGCGAAAGGGGCACGGAGAAAAAAAAUAAGUGUGGAGGAUAAGCAGCCGAGCUCAUUCCCUUCGCUUCCUGGGCCCAAAGCAGUGCAGUCUUUCCUGGCCAAAUCAAGGAUUUGGGGCGCUACUUAAAGAAAUCCAUUUUUUUUAGUCAUAUAUAUUAAUAGAAAGAUAGAUCCAUCCAUCUAUCCUAUCCGAUUUCGAUUUUUAUAUCUAAAAAAGAAUCGAUUUCAUUCAACGUUUGAUUCAAAGAACUGCGCUUAGCCCCCCCCCGCUCAUGAAACGGCUCGGCUGCAAUGGAUGGCAGAGGGUCCGUAGUACCCAAAGAACUGGAGUGGUCCAGUAGCCGGGAAGGGGCCUAGAAGUGCCAACUACUACACCACACUACACUCGGCUCUACACAUUUACAGAGCUAACCCCUGUCCAGUCCCUGGCAGAGUGAAGGGGGCUUCCAUCCUUAUUCCCUAUUCCCUCGCCCAGGCUAACGGGGCCUUACUUAUUCAGGGGGGGGAGAGUGGAGCCCCGAGAAGCACUGUUGAGAGGAAGAUCCUUGGCCCCUCCUCAUUCUCUACAGGGUUCCAAACCUUUCUUCAACAUAGGUGACAACGAGCGGGGCAGAGAUGGAAGAGAUCGAACACGAUAAUAAGAAGCAAGCUCGCCUUCCUUUUAUAUCAUUUUGAUAGAGAGGGAUGGAGAAAGUGGACAAAACAGACUCGCAUUUCCCAGUCGAAAAGAUGGGUUCCUUUUUCGUCUUGCAUUUCUCAUCGCGGAAAAAUAAUAAUAUUGAAAACGUUCCCAACCCACCAACCCUUUCCUUCGUAGAGCCGUGUAUUGUAAUCCGAACCUGCCCGGAGCGAGUCUCCCAUAGAGGCAAGUUAAGUUGGUGAGCCGUAUGAUGGGCAACUAUCUCCUGCGGUUCGGAGAGGACUCAGCUGUUAGUUAGUACCCCCUUUCGGGGUGGACCUUUCACUCUAU